RNAcentral lists this ribosomal RNA (494 nucleotides) under uncultured bacterium. RNAcentral describes it as "partial 16S ribosomal RNA". It matches the Rfam family "Bacterial small subunit ribosomal RNA", at positions 28 to 523 of the family's 1533-position model. The record is from RNAcentral.
GACGAACGCUGGCGGCGCGCCUAACACAUGCAAGUCGAGCGAUGAACAUUGAAUGAUCCCUUCGGGGUGAUUUCGAUCGGAUUAGCGGCGAACGGGUGAGUAACGCGUGAGGAACCUGCCUCUUACCACGGGAUAGCCUCGGGAAACCGGGAUUAAUACCGUAUAAGACUCCGACAUCUCCUGAUGAUGAAGUCAAAGCGUUAGCGGUAAGAGAUGGCCUCGCGUCUGAUUAGCUUGUUGGCGGGGUAACGGCCCAACAAGGCGACGAUCAGUAACCGGCAUGAGACGGUGCACGGUCACAUUGGAACUGAGACACGGUCCAAGCUCCUACGGGAGGCAGCCGUGUGGAAUCUUGAACAAUGGGGGCAACCCUGAUGCAGCGACGCCGCGUGAGCGAUGAAGGUUUUCGAAUCGUAAAGCUCUGUCCUAUGGGAAGAUAAUGACGGUACCAUGGGAGGAAGCCCCGGCUAACUACGUGCCAGCCGCCGCGGUAA